This 3615-nucleotide long non-coding RNA is filed under the name Nicotiana benthamiana. RNAcentral describes it as "long non-coding RNA (NBEN_LNC026660)". Lineage: Eukaryota; Viridiplantae; Streptophyta; Magnoliopsida; Solanales; Solanaceae. The record is from RNAcentral.
UUGGUCGCUAUUUUAGUCAAUUAUUUAUUUACUAGACGAGAAUUGCCCGUGCAAAGAAGCCGUAGGAAGUAACCAAUGUUUCAUUACCCAAUAUGAAAGGACUAAUCCCAAUAUCAGUAAAGGACUAAUCCCAAUAUUCAUUACCCAAAUAUGAAAUAUUCGAGGUUCAUUAUUCUCAAAUUCUGCAGAGUAGUAAUUACAACUAAACACUAUAUGAUGUAGUAUCCAUGAAUCAUAUGUCAAAUACUUAACCUACUGACUUUCAUUACCAUUCUUUUCCUCCAAACUGUAGGAGCUUGACGUCUUGACCUUUCAAGUAGCAUGUAGGCUGAAUCACUUAGUUUCGAUUGCAUGAUCACAAGUCCUGAAAAAUUGUCUUAUAAGCUUCUUUAAGAAAGCUGGUUAAAAAUCUUGAUUUGGUCGAUCAAAGUUUUAGGAUAUCAUGUGAAUGUGCUCUUGGAUCAACCUCAACACCACUUCUAAGCUGGCAUUGAUGUAUUCAUCAUUGCUCGAGACCCUGUACAUGGAUUGAUUAUUAACCAAAAAUAAAAAAUAAUUUCAUAAACAAGUAAAAGUGAUAGUAUACAUUAUAUCAAUUAAUUAUAUGUGUCAAGGAUGCUUUCAGAAGAAUAUAUGGUCUUAUUACGUAAGACAUAAAACUGGCACAAAGUACAAACAUAAAACCCCAUCAGAAGAACAAUGGAUGUGUGCUAGUAUUUCUAAGGAGGGAAAAGGGAGGGAGGGAGGAAGAAAGAUAAGUUGUACCAGCACAUCAUGGGAAAAAAAUAAGACAAAAUGGGUACACUAAUCCACAGACAGUAAAAAAUAUAUAAGCUUUAAGUAUACAGAAAAAUAAUGACAAAUCUAAAAGUAAAAGAAGGAAAGGCAUUUUGAAGGCAUUUACAAAUAUUACAGAUGCUAUGCGUGUCAAGAAAAAAAAUAAAUAUAAAUAGCAGCAAAAUAUGUCUAGAGGACUCAAAUUACAACUUGAAAAGAUUAUAACUUCAGUAAUUGAGGGGGAGAAUUAUCAAUAGAAAGUGUGCUAAUUAUAAGAUAGGGUAGAGACGGCUUCAGAGGAUGAUAACUUCAAUAAUUGAGAUGAUAUAAGAAAAAACUAUUAAGAGAGAAGUGGUAUCCAUAAGAUGAGCUAGAUAAGUAUUAUACUCACAAAAGUGAUCCCACUAAAUUCAAGUUAUAGCAAUACACAUGCCAACUUUUAUUUACUUUUAAUGAUUUCAAAUGGAGGAGAAAGAAGUAUACAGACAUUAUUCUAAACUCAAUCACUAAAAUAGCAAGUAGAUGUUCUUAGCCCAAAAAAUGAACAUGGAGACCAAUUAAUGAGUUGACUCUAAGUCAUAUGAACUUCAUAUUUUGGUCGUAUUCAACUGUUGCGCACAAUAGGAAACUACCUUUUCUCUAUAUGUUUGAAACUUUUGAGCUUAUUGUAUUCUUCUUUGCCAUAUGUGGUUCCUAUAAUCGAGAACAACAAAUUAGCAGACAUAUUGUUAAUUAUAAAGAAAUAACGAGUAAAUAGUGAAUCCAAUAUAAACCAAAGUGCUAACGUAAUCAUUCGCAGCAUUAUCUCUUCCUAGAUCUUUUUGCUAUGUUAAAUAACAAUCUUAACUCCAUAAAUUACUAUUCUGUAGUUUUUUCAAAAAUCAUGUACUUGAAUUACAGCUUGUUGUAAUACCUAAUGUUGCAACAUGUUAUUCUUUUGCAUAACUUAUUGUUCAACUAUAACUAGUAGGACUUAAAUGUAUUGAUUGUAUUCUUCUUCGCCAUAUGUGGUUCCUAUAAUCGAGCUGAUUGUUACAAUUGGAACGUCAAUUAUAAAGAAAUAACAAGUAAAUAGUGAAUCCAAUAUAAACCAAAUUGCUAACGUAAUCAUUCGCGGCAUUAUUUCUUCCUAGAUCGUUUUUGCUAUGUUAAAUAACAAUCUUAAUUCCAAAAAUUACUAUUAUGUAUUUUUUCAAAAAUCAUGUACUUGAAUUACAGCUUGUUGUAAUACCCAAUGCCGCAACAAGUUAUUCUUUUGCAUAACUUAUUGUUCAACUAUAACCAGUAGGACUUAAAUGUAUUGUCAUAGAAAAAUGUUAAUAGGUUAACAACACUUGAUCAAAAUCCUCUUGUGAAGUUUGACUAAUGAAAAAGUAUGGAGCUAAGAAAAAGAUUUAGUUGCUUCUCAGAAUCAACAGACAUACAAGUUAUACAAAUAUUUUUUUUACGUAGCGUGUCAUUAGCAGCCUAUUUCUCAUUAUAACUUUUAACUGAAAGUAACAGAUACCCAAAAGGAAUAGCAUUUCAGAACCCAAAAUAUAAAUUUAAUAAAAAAAUUCUUGAAGACAACUUAAAAAAGAAAAGAGAGAACAAGGCAUAAAAGUAUUAUAUUUUUAAUAUCUUAUGUGAACAUUGGUUAUGUCGCCGGUAAGCUAAAUUAUAGUUGAAAUAUGAUAUGCACAUCCCGCAAGUUCAAAUAGGCGGACAUUGUACCACUGAAUCCACAGUUUUUAUUUGGUAAGAAUGAAAACCGUGAGUUGUGAAUUAAAAAAAAUACUUAUAUUGAAAUGUGAAGUUCCUAAUUCAAAACAAUCAUGAUAAUAAGGUAACUGAUCCAUAGAAACAUAUUCGUGCUAUUCAUAUGGCAGCCACUGAAGCAAGUAAAUGGCAUUAAGAAAAACAACCUCCACAUCUUCUCAAUUUUAUUUUUCUAGUGAACCAUAAAAUGAUUCAAAAACUAACCACCAAUUAUCACAUUUAUGAUCCUAAAAUUCCUUACACUGCACUGACUACACAUUGACAACCCAUUAUGCACAUUACGAAACUCCUAAAAGUAUUUUAAUAGUCAAAAUAAUAAAAUAAAGGAAUCAAAAGUACAAAAUCUGCCAUUUCUAAUCAUGGAAUCAACUUUGAACCUCAUUCUAGAGGAGAUUGGAAGAAGAAUCAAAAGAGAAACAAUAAAAAUACAAAAAUAAGUGAGCGCAAGAAGAGGACUAUAAGAGCAUUGAGGAGGAGUCAAUGUGGAACGUAGUCUGGCAAUGCAAAUCAAAAUCUAAAAGGGGGUUAUACAUCAAAAUUUUAAAUUAACAAUUAGUAAAUUUCACCUGUUUUAAACUUUAAAAAAUUACAACAUUUCAAGGGGGUUACCUCAAAAUUAGUAGAGAAUCGACCUUCGACGGAUUAAUUAUGAUAUAUUAAAAAGGAAAAAAUAACAUAUAAACCCUUCAAAGAGAACAAUUGAAAGGAUAUACCUUAAUAUUCCUGUUCAACAGUUCGAAAGGUCCGAGAAUACUCUAUCCCAGUAGACGAUUGCUGCUCCAAGAGUUCAUUCAACAAAAAGCAACAUACAAGUUUAUCCCAAAUUGUGAAUCACAAAAUUGUGUUCAAAGUCUGAUUAGAGAUAAGACAAAGCAAAAUUCGUAAAAGAAGAUAUGAAGGGUAUGAAAAAGAUUGUGAGAGAGAUCUGCUACUAAUGGUAUACAAUUGCAGCUAGAACUCAUUAGCAAAUGGUAGACGAUUAACAAAGUAACAGUGAAAGAAAAUUCUAGAAAGAAGAGUGCGAGGAAGGACACGUAUGCUAGUAGAGUAAUAAAAAUUCAAUUUCAGAUCAGCUAUAGA